AACGCUAUCUUAACGGAAAUGCUGUGCAGUACGAGAGGAACCACAGCUUCGAACCAAUGGCUCAAUACUAGUUCGACCGGACUUUGGUAUAACGCUACGUUCGUUGGAUUAUGCCUGAACGCCUCUAAGGUCGUAACCAAACCGAGCUGAUAGUGUCCCCUUAUAGGUCGUCGGUGAUCAUGUGGCAAAAAACCUACAAGACCUGCUAGCGUGAUCUCACGUUGGCAUCUUAUUGCAUGCACGCAGACAAAGCCCUCGCGCGCGGCGUCAUACAGCAAGUAUCUAAGAUACUGGAACGCUGGUGGCGCUGCUCAGCAUCAAUAUAUGAUUUCGAUACCUGAGACCCCCUACAAACGAUAGGUUUACAGGCUGGGAGUUGCGAGUUGCAGAGAGGUGUACAUUUCGAUCCUCUCAGACUACCCUUGCUUGGAGGUUG
Molecule: non-coding RNA, 436 nt
Organism: Aedes aegypti (yellow fever mosquito)
Lineage: Eukaryota; Metazoa; Arthropoda; Insecta; Diptera; Culicidae
Source: Rfam